RNAcentral lists this long non-coding RNA (1382 nucleotides) under Homo sapiens (human). Its description in RNAcentral is "HSALNT0235727". Lineage: Eukaryota; Metazoa; Chordata; Mammalia; Primates; Hominidae. The record is from RNAcentral.
CUCCCACACACAUCUCCGUGACCGUGUGGCCACUGCCUCCUAAGGGUCUUAUCUUUUCUAAUCCAUAUCACGGACUGGAGACUGGCUCCCACACACAUCUCGGUGACCGCGUGGCCUCUGCCUGAUAAGGGUCUUAUCUUUUCUAAUUCAUACCACGGACUGGAGACUGGCUCUUACACACAUCUCGGUGACCGCGUGGCCUCUGCCUGAUAAGGGUCUUAUCUUUUCUAAUUCAUACCACGGACUGGAGACUGGCUCCCACACACAUCUCCGUGACCGUGUGGCCUCUGCCUGAUAAGGGUCUUAUCUUUUCUAAUCCAUACCACGGACUGGAGAUCGGCUCCCACACACAUCUCCAUGACCGCGUGGCCUCUGCCUGAUAAGGGUCUUAUUUUUUCUAAUCCAUACUACGGACUGGAGAUCGGCUCCCACACACAUCUCCGUGACCGUGUGGCCACUGCCUCCUAAGGGUCUUAUCUUUUCUAAUCCAUACCACUGACUGGAGAUUGGCUCCCACACACAUCUCCGUGACCGCGUGGCCACUGCCUCCUAAGGGUCUUAUCUUUUCUAAUCCGUAUCACGGACUGGAGACUGGCUCCCACACACAUCUCCGUGACCGCGUGGCCACUGCCUCCUAAGGGUCUUAUCUUUUCUAAUCCAUAUCACGGACUGGAGACUGGCUCCCACACACAUCUCCGUGACCGCGUGGCCACUGCCUCCUAAGGGUCUUAUCUUUUCUAAUCCACACCACUGACUGGAGAUCGGCUCCCACACACAUCUCCGUGACCGCGUGGCCACUGCCUCCUAAGGGUCUUAUCUUUUCUAAUCCAUAUCACGGACUGGAGAUCGGCUCCCACACACAUCUCCGUGACCGCGUGGCCACUGCCUCCUAAGGGUCUUAUUUUAUCCAGACUCCUGUACCUCUAUAAUCCACUAGACUUUUACAAAAUACAAGUGAGAUCAUGCCCCCCGCACUUAAAAUCUUUCACUGUCCACAAAAUAAAAAAUAAAUUAUUUAGCAAGGCAUAUAAAACCUGACCCGAUCUACCUAUGCAGCCCUGUCUCCCUCUGCUGCCUCCAAACUCCAUGAGACUCCCUCUUCCUUCUUUCCCCCAUUACUGUCACGUUGGUAAGAUCCCACCCAUUCUUUUAAGAUUCAGAUUAAAACAGAAUUUGUCUAUGACCCCUGCCCUCAGCCCCUGCUUCAGCCUAUCAAUUCCUCUUCUGAGAUCCUGCUAUGCCUUGUACAGCAUAUACCAGUUUUGUUACAUCUGUUAUACUGGAAUCUUCUAUUAAUGUCUUUCUUCUCCAUACAAAAAUGGUGAACUCUUUGAAGGCAGAGAGUGUGUAUUUCUUAUCUUUGUGCCUUCAGUCCCCAGCAC